This 253-nucleotide ribosomal RNA is filed under the name uncultured bacterium. Its description in RNAcentral is "partial 16S ribosomal RNA". It matches the Rfam family "Bacterial small subunit ribosomal RNA", at positions 524 to 776 of the family's 1533-position model. The record is from RNAcentral.
UACGGAGGAUGCAAGCGUUAUCCGGAAUGAUUGGGCGUAAAGGGUCUGUAGGUGGUUGUUCAAGUCUGCUGUUAAAGCGUCUGGCUUAACCAGAUAAAGGCGGUGGAAACUGAACGACUAGAGUGCGGUAGGGGUAGAGGGAAUUCCCAGUGUAGCGGUGAAAUGCGUAGAUCUUGGGAAGAACACCUGUGGCGAAAGCGCUCUACUGGACCGCGACUGACACUCAUGGACGAAAGCUAGGGGAGCGAAUGGG